GCGGCACACACACACGCGCUUGCUUUCUCUCCUUCUCCUCUUUUUCUACUGCAUUCGGACUCCAACCGAGAGGGGAUUUAACGCACGCGGCCAGCUGUGGAGGACGUCCCGAACCCCUAAAAACGCGAGAUGUUUCUCCUAGCAGUUCCCGCAGACAGGAAUCCGCUCACAGAGACGAGAGCCACGCUCUCCCCCAGGAGAGGAGUACAAAGGCCAGUCUGCACGCGGCAGAUGCAAAACUGAGUCCAUCUGCUGCAGGCUUCCCAUCGCCACAUGGAGAUUGAAAAGGCUUUGGACUGCAAGGUCAAUGAGGACAAACAAUUCCAGCAGCGGCUCUCGAGCGCAUGCAGAAGAAAGUGCUGGUUGAGGGGGGUGGACUUGUGUGGCGACAGCAGUGGCAGAGCUGGUGUCUCUGAGCGCUGGCAUGAUUUCCAUGGCAACCCCUCUAACUAUUAAUUUUCAAUUAAAGCAGACACAAAACGCCCUGCCCUGAGACUGUGGAAGGUGUCAAGAGCACACAGGGGAAACCAGGCUUUUUUGGAGCCAUGACGCUACUUGGCUUGUUCAUAGUGACAAAAAUCACACCACUGAGCAUCUAAGCUGUGUUUUUAUUGCACAAUCACACCAGUUACAACACCAAAACCACAAAUGAAACUCAUGCAUGCUAAAUAUUAGCAACUGAUAAGAUAAUAAUUGAACAUUUUGGCAUUAUCAUCUCUAUUAUGUCCCUUGGUUGUUUAAGAGAGGUGUUACCUCCCCCUUGUGUCAGUUUUAAAAUCUGACAGGAAUGUCAUCUGCAAUAAAAGGUUAAGUUUACAAUUUUUGGUGAAUUUUAAGUAAAUAAUGUUUAAAAUAAAGUACACAAACUUAAUUUGAAA
This is a long non-coding RNA of Megalobrama amblycephala (Wuchang bream), 878 nucleotides long. RefSeq lists it as uncharacterized. Lineage: Eukaryota; Metazoa; Chordata; Actinopteri; Cypriniformes; Xenocyprididae. The transcript has 3 exons. The record is from RefSeq and is a predicted model, not a curated record.